UGCCAGCCGCCGCGGUAACACGGGGGGCGCAAGCGUUAUUCGGAAUUAUUGGGCGUAAAGGGUGCGCAGGCGGAACUUUAAGUCAGUGGUGAAAGGUAUCAGCUUAACUGAUGACGUGCCAUUGAAACUGAUAGGCUUGAGUACAGACGAGGUAGGCGGAAUUUAUGGUGUAGCGGUGAAAUGCAUAGAUACCAUAAAGAACACCGAUAGCGAAGGCAGAUUACUAGGCUGAGACUGACGCUGAGGCACGAAAGCGUGGGGAGCGAACAGGAUUAGAUA
Molecule: ribosomal RNA, 279 nt
Filed under: uncultured bacterium
Lineage: Bacteria
Description: partial 16S ribosomal RNA
Rfam family: Bacterial small subunit ribosomal RNA
Source: RNAcentral